RNAcentral lists this ribosomal RNA (490 nucleotides) under uncultured bacterium. RNAcentral describes it as "partial 16S ribosomal RNA". It matches the Rfam family "Bacterial small subunit ribosomal RNA", at positions 30 to 507 of the family's 1533-position model. The record is from RNAcentral.
UGAACGCUGGCGGCAUGCCUUACACAUGCAAGUCGAACGGUAACAGGCCUUCGGGUGCUGACGAGUGGCGAACGGGUGAGUAAUGCAUCGGAACGUGCCCAGAGGUGGGGGAUAACGCAGCGAAAGCUGUGCUAAUACCGCAUGUGAUCUGAGGAUGAAAGCGGGGGACCAAGCAGCAAUGUUUGGCCUCGCGCCUCUGGAGCGGCCGAUGUCAGAUUAGGUAGUUGGUGGGGUAAAGGCCUACCAAGCCGACGAUCUGUAGCUGGUCUGAGAGGACGACCAGCCACACUGGGACUGAGACACGGCCCAGACUCCUACGGGAGGCAGCAGUGGGGAAUUUUGGACAAUGGGCGCAAGCCUGAUCCAGCAAUGCCGCGUGCGGGAAGAAGGCCUUCGGGUUGUAAACCGCUUUUGUACGGAACGAAAAGGCUCUGGCUAAUACCUGGGGCUGAUGACGGUACCGUAAGAAUAAGCACCGGCUAACUACGUG